This is a long non-coding RNA of Oncorhynchus kisutch (coho salmon), 444 nucleotides long. RefSeq lists it as uncharacterized. The transcript is spliced from 4 exons. The record is from RefSeq and is a predicted model, not a curated record. NCBI's taxonomy places the organism in Eukaryota, Metazoa, Chordata, Actinopteri, Salmoniformes, Salmonidae.
CAGACCAGAUACAACAACCUGACUAAAGAGAGAGACCAGAUACAGACCAGAUACAACAACCUGACUAAAGAGAGAGACCAGAUACAGACCAGAUACAACAUCCUGACUACAGAGAAAGGCCAUAUUCAGGCAAAGCUUUUUGUGAUAGAGCAGCAUUGUCAGGAGGGAUGGAGAUACUUUGACUCCAGUUUGUACUUCCUGUCUACUGAGAAGAAAACCUGGAAGCAGAGCAGAGAGGACUGUAAGGGGAGAGGAGCAGACCUGGUGAUCAUAAACAGUAGAGAGGAACAGACAUUUCUCUUCAACCUCCACCUGAGAGCCUGGAUUGGUCUGACUGACUCUGUUACUGAGGAGAUCUGGAAGUGGGUGGACGGCACAACACUGACCACAGGGUACUGGGGGAAAGGACAGCCUGAUAAUGGUGGUCCGCUCCUUGGCAGGAGG